This 583-nucleotide ribosomal RNA is filed under the name uncultured bacterium. Its description in RNAcentral is "bacterial SSU rRNA". It matches the Rfam family "Bacterial small subunit ribosomal RNA", at positions 338 to 916 of the family's 1533-position model. The record is from RNAcentral.
CCUACGGGAGGCAGCAGUGGGGAAUAUUGGACAAUGGGGGCAACCCUGAUCCAGCCAUGCCGCGUGUGUGAAGAAGGCCUUCGGGUUGUAAAGCACUUUAAGCGGGGAGGAAGGGCUUUGGGUUAAUAACCUGGAGCAUUGACGUUACCCGCAGAAUAAGCACCGGCUAACUCUGUGCCAGCAGCCGCGGUAAUACAGAGGGUGCAAGCGUUAAUCGGAAUUACUGGGCGUAAAGCGCGCGUAGGCGGUUGUGCAAGUUGGAGGUGAAAUCCCCGGGCUUAACCUGGGCACUGCCUUCAAAACUGCACGGCUAGAGUAUGGGAGAGGAAGGUAGAAUUCCAGGUGUAGCGGUGAAAUGCGUAGAGAUCUGGAGGAAUACCGAUGGCGAAGGCAGCCUUCUGGCCUAAUACUGACGCUGAGGUGCGAAAGCACGGGGAGCAAACAGGAUUAGAUACCCUGGUAGUCCAUGCCGUAAACGAUGUCAACUAGUUGUUGGGAGACUUGAUCUCUUAGUGACGCAGCUAACGCAUUAAGUUGACCGCCUGGGGAUACGGUCGCAAGCUAAAACUCAAAGGAUUAACGG